UAGGGAAUCUUCCGCAAUGGGCGAAAGCUUGACGGAGCAACGCCGCGUGAGUGAUGAAGGUCUUCGGAUCGUAAAACUCUGUUAUUAGGGAAGAACAAAUGUGUAAGUAACUAUGCACGUCUUGACGGUACCUAAUCAGAAAGCCACGGCUAACUACGUGCCAGCAGCCGCGGUAAUACGUAGGUGGCAAGCGUUAUCCGGAAUUAUUGGGCGUAAAGCGCGCGUAGGCGGUUUUUUAAGUCUGAUGUGAAAGCCCACGGCUCAACCGUGGAGGGUCAUUGGAUACUGGAAAACUUGAGUGCAGAAGAGGAAAGUGGAAUUCCAUGUGUAGCGGUGAAAUACGCAGAGAUAUGGAGGAACACCAGUGGCGAAGGCGACUUUCUGGUCUGUAACUGACGCUGAUGUGCGAAAGCGUGGGGAUCAAACAGG
Molecule: ribosomal RNA, 429 nt
Filed under: Actinomycetes bacterium
Lineage: Bacteria; Bacillati; Actinomycetota; Actinomycetes
Description: Actinobacteria bacterium partial 16S ribosomal RNA
Rfam family: Bacterial small subunit ribosomal RNA
Source: RNAcentral